RNAcentral lists this ribosomal RNA (525 nucleotides) under uncultured bacterium. RNAcentral's name for it is "bacterial SSU rRNA". It matches the Rfam family "Bacterial small subunit ribosomal RNA", at positions 984 to 1509 of the family's 1533-position model. The record is from RNAcentral.
ACAUCCAGCGAACUUGGCAGAGAUGCCUUGGUGCCUUCGGGAACGCUGAGACAGGUGCUGCAUGGCUGUCGUCAGCUCGUGUUGUGAAAUGUUGGGUUAAGUCCCGCAACGAGCGCAACCCUUAUCCUUUGUUGCCAGCGAUUCGGUCGGGAACUCAAAGGAGACUGCCGGUGAUAAACCGGAGGAAGGUGGGGAUGACGUCAAGUCAUCAUGGCCCUUACGAGUAGGGCUACACACGUGCUACAAUGGCGCAUACAAAGAGAAGCGACCUCGCGAGAGCAAGCGGACCUCAUAAAGUGCGUCGUAGUCCGGAUCGGAGUCUGCAACUCGACUCCGUGAAGUCGGAAUCGCUAGUAAUCGUGGAUCAGAAUGCCACGGUGAAUACGUUCCCGGGCCUUGUACACACCGCCCGUCACACCAUGGGAGUGGGUUGCAAAAGAAGUAGGUAGCUUAACCUUCGGGAGGGCGCUUACCACUUUGCGAUUCAUGACUGGGGUGAAGUCGUAACAAGGUAAGCGUAGCGAG